GAAGACUAUUUGAGGGGGAGAGGAAUAAAAACAUUGGAGAGAGAGUGAGCUGUUUGAGCAAAGAAAAAGACAGAAGAUGAGACUAAGAGCUAUAUAAAAAACAUUUGUACUGGUUAUUAGAAUUGAAGAUGAGAACGAGCAGAGAGAAUAGAAAGCUAGAAGAGCAGAAAAAAGAGAGAGGCGGAGAGGAGAAAAGAGGUGAGGCCAACAAUGUCAAGAAGAGACCAAAAAAAAAAAUGAAUGAAUGGGUGGCGGGAAAAGACGACAAGAGAGAGCUGAAUAACACCGCUGUGGGAAUUUACGAUAACCUCUGCCAAUUGAUAAAGAUUGUUCAAUUUCUUCCCUUCCCUUCGUCACUUCCAACAAGCACGGUGCAAAGGGUAAAAAUCAGGGGGAAAAAGCCCACCUCUCACCACUCGUGCCGCAACAACGGUAAAGAAGGGCUGGCGGGAUUGAUUUAACAAUGGGUGGAUGAUUCCUUUUGCUGAUUCACAACCGUUUGAAUAUACACAAUCUCACUUUACACCCACUGUCUCCCUCUCUUGCCCUUUGGAGAUAUCGAUGGUCACUACAGUAACAUGGGGCGGUAGGUAGCCUAGUGGUUAUAGCGUUGGGCCAGUUACCGAAAGGUUGCUUGAUCGAAUCCCUGAGCUAACAAGCUAAAAAUCUGCCCCUGAACAAGGCAGUUAACCUACUGUUCUCCGAUAGGCCUUCCUGUUUUAUACAGACUGCAUUAUUUUAACUGACUUGCCUGGUAAAUAAAAAAAGUGACAUGUUGGUCGCAACAAUUGAUAACCGUUAACACAAUAAAAAAAAGUACUGAAUCAGAAGUGUCUGUACCUUUUCAUACAGUAGAAUUCUGCCCCGGCAUAGAAUGUUCGGUAUUGUUUUCCUGACAACAAUACACACGAUCGAUGGCUGUGCUGUUCUUUGAUGGUAGGGUGUUUUCAUUCUACGAAAUGUCUUGGUAAGUAAAGGCAUUUAAUGAACUUUAACCUACUUUUUAAGGAGAAAGAGGCCUGCGCACAGGCAGCUCAAGAUAAUUUGAUAGUUCUGGUCUCCCAGUGUACGUUAGUCCUGCUUCAGAAGCGGCAUUGCUUUACAGACAAGUAAAAUACCUUUGAAACUAUCUCCAGAGAAGCUUUUGUGCUGGCAUUUAAAUGCCAUAGUGUACAGACAAACAAACAUACCGUAGCCAAGGUGUUUUCAAGGUGGCACAUUCCAUGUCUGAUCUGUGUUAAUCUGCAAAAUUGUAAUUAUUCGCCUACCUCCUCAUGCCUUUUGCACACAAUGUAUAUAGACUCUUUUUUUUAAAUGUAUUUCUACUGUGUUAUUGACUUGUUAAUUGUUUACUCCAUGUGUAACUCUGUGUUGUUGUCUGUUCACACUGCUAUGCUUUAUCUUGGCCAGGUCGCAGUUGUAAAUGAGAACUUGUUCUCAACUAGCCUACCUGGUUAAAUAAAGCUGAAAUAAAAUUUUAAAAAGUGUAUCUUUGCAGCUGGGAUAAAGAGUUUAGCUAAGAUCCUGAAGCCCCUAAAGAGCAGAAAGUAACCAGUCGAGGUGAGUGGAAAGGUGACCGGAAAACAUGCUGGAAACCUUUAGAACACACAGAGAAUGUUACAUUCAUACAGUUGAAGUCUGUUAUUCACUGUCAAAUUACUUCUAAUGCUCUCCUCUCUCUUUCAGAUAAUUACAUUUAGU
Long non-coding RNA from Oncorhynchus nerka (sockeye salmon), 1701 nucleotides. RefSeq lists it as uncharacterized. Lineage: Eukaryota; Metazoa; Chordata; Actinopteri; Salmoniformes; Salmonidae. The record is from RefSeq and is a predicted model, not a curated record. The transcript is spliced from 3 exons.